UACGUAGGUCCCGAGCGUUGUCCGGAUUUAUUGGGCGUAAAGGGUGCGUAGGCGGACUGUCAAGUCAGCGGUAAAAUUGAGAGGCUCAACCUCUUCCCGCCGUUGAAACUGGUGGUCUUGAGUGGAUGAGAAGUACGCGGAAUGCGUGGUGUAGCGGUGAAAUGCAUAGAUAUCACGCAGAACUCCGAUUGCGAAGGCAGCGUACCGGCAUCCAACUGACGCUGAGGCACGAAAGCGUGGGGAUCAAACAGG
This 252-nucleotide ribosomal RNA is filed under the name uncultured bacterium. Its description in RNAcentral is "partial 16S ribosomal RNA". It matches the Rfam family "Bacterial small subunit ribosomal RNA", at positions 524 to 776 of the family's 1533-position model. The record is from RNAcentral.